UGUUUGAUGUUCUAACGUUGACCCGUAAUCCGGGUUGCGGACAGUGUCUGGUGGGUAGUUUGACUGGGGCGGUCUCCUCCUAAAGAGUAACGGAGGAGCACGAAGGUUGGCUAAUCCUGGUCGGACAUCAGGAGGUUAGUGCAAUGGCAUAAGCCAGCUUGACUGCGAGCGUGACGGCGCGAGCAGGUGCGAAAGCAGGUCAUAGUGAUCCGGUGGUUCUGAAUGGAAGGGCCAUCGCUCAACGGAUAAAAGGUACUCCGGGGAUAACAGGCUGAUACCGCCCAAGAGUUCAUAUCGACGGCGGUGUUUGGCACCUCGAUGUCGGCUCAUCACAUCCUGGGGCUGAAGUAGGUCCCAAGGGUAUGGCUGUUCGCCAUUUAAAGUGGUACGCGAGCUGGGUUUAGAACGUCGUGAGACAGUUCGGUCCCUAUCUGCCGUGGGCGCUGGAGAACUGAGGGGGGCUGCUCCUAGUACGAGAGGACCGGAGUGGACGCAUCACUGGUGUUCGGGUUGUCAUGCCAAUGGCACUGCCCGGUAGCUAAAUGCGGAAGAGAUAAGUGCUGAAAGCAUCUAAGCACGAAACUUGCCCCGAGAUGAGUUCUCCCUGACCCUUUAAGGGUCCUGAAGGA
RNAcentral lists this ribosomal RNA (629 nucleotides) under Escherichia coli. RNAcentral describes it as "partial 23S ribosomal RNA". It matches the Rfam family "Bacterial large subunit ribosomal RNA", at positions 2211 to 2844 of the family's 2925-position model. Lineage: Bacteria; Pseudomonadati; Pseudomonadota; Gammaproteobacteria; Enterobacterales; Enterobacteriaceae. The record is from RNAcentral.